UAUUCUUCCACACAUCACCCUCGUCGUCAACGAAUGCGUUUUUAACAGUUGAGGGAACUUUGCUUCUAUUUGUGCUAGUGCGUCAUUAAUCUGGAAAGACAGAUCAUUUUCGUUAACAUUCUGUGUGGUAUAAUUGCGAUAGGUCUCUCAGCCAGGGAUACAGUGCGUUGUUAGAGAAUGCAAAGCAAAACCUGUUACCGUUCUAUUUCGUCAUACACUUGAUCUGCAUCGGAACACACCGUUCAACUUAUCAAAAUUUCACCACAACGAUGAUAACGCGAUUGAGUGUCACGAAGCGCCACAAAAUACCUGAACUGGUAUUUCUGGUAGCCGCCGUAGCGUUGCCGCUGGCAGUUGGUCGAAUCGUGGAUGAUAAUGUUGCCGGCUCGAACGUUCUACAGAACACAGACUUUCCGGCGUUACACCCUGCACCAAACGACACAUCGACCGCAGCUGACGCACAAGACGUGCAUCUAUUAAAUGUGACUGAGUACAAUAUCGAAGCUAACUCAAGCUCGAAUUGGACAGGAAGCCACCUGCCUGCGUACAGUGUGGCACAUGGAUCAAGCAACUUAAACACAGUAAAAUUGCCUGCCGUUGGCAAUUCCUCUGCGGUAGU
Anopheles cruzii is the source of this 619-nucleotide long non-coding RNA. RefSeq lists it as uncharacterized. Lineage: Eukaryota; Metazoa; Arthropoda; Insecta; Diptera; Culicidae. The record is from RefSeq and is a predicted model, not a curated record. The transcript is spliced from 3 exons.